CAUAUUAAUAUAUUUACAGUAUUUAUUAAUAGAUAAAAUCAAAAAGUUCCUAUGUUCAUCAUGAAUUAGAUGCAUUAGAAAGAGAACAAUUGGAAAUUGAUAAAAAUGCUGCAGAAUUAGAAAAAAAAUUAAGAAAAGUAAUGGAAUCAGGAAAUAGUGUAUUAGAAGAAGAGUUAAUGCAACAGUGGUUUACUCUGGUCAAUAAAAAGAAUGCUUUAAUUCGUCGCCAAAUGCAGUUAAAUAUUCUGUACUUUCUCAUUGUUCUGACAUGAAGAUAUGCAUGCAGAAUAGAAGUAUUUUGAAGGUGUAGGAGCAUGCCUCUGCAUAUGGUGGAGGCAAUCAACAGACUUGAUUAGGAAAUUGAUUACUUGGCCUAUAGCUGGAUCUAACACCAUGAAAUUAUAUUCCAUUUGACCCUUUAAAUGAAGUCUUGAGAGACAAGAGCCACUGCAUGAAGAACUCUCUGAAGUCAAAGAAUUUGUCAAGCAAUGGCUCCAACACAGCCAAAAUACUUCUAUUCUGCAGAUAUAUUAUCAUUGUCAAAAUGAUAAAAGUAUCCAUGUAAGGAGGAAUAUCUAGAGAAAAAAUAAAUACAUUGGAACUACAUAACACACAGUUCCAUUGCUAUUACUGAAAUUCUGGACAGACGUUGAAUUGCCCUAAUAUUUUUUAACAGAAAAAAUUAAUUUUAUUUAAAAUAAAUAUGGGAAAUCUAUACAAGUAU
RNAcentral lists this long non-coding RNA (724 nucleotides) under Centruroides sculpturatus (bark scorpion). Its description in RNAcentral is "uncharacterized LOC111616471, transcript variant X2". Lineage: Eukaryota; Metazoa; Arthropoda; Arachnida; Scorpiones; Buthidae. The record is from RNAcentral.